Molecule: long non-coding RNA, 591 nt
Filed under: Oryza brachyantha (malo sina)
Lineage: Eukaryota; Viridiplantae; Streptophyta; Magnoliopsida; Poales; Poaceae
Description: long non-coding RNA (OBRA_LNC000718)
Source: RNAcentral
GUUAUAAUAUUUUUUUCUACCUAGAUUCAUUUAUGUUUUAAUGCAUAUUGUUGGUGUAGGGUCAUCUUGCCCUAUUCGCCCAAAACGGAAUUAGUAUAUUCAGGGUUUUUGAGUUCCAUUGCUAGGUGUAUAUAGAAAACAUUAACCCAAGUAUCCUUGUAAGAUUAUUCGAGUGUAGCAUGUAUUCCAAGUUAUUCGACUCUCCAACAUGAACGGGGCAAUGCUAUUAACAAGAGGCCAUAAGAAGUUGCCUAUUGAGUAUUUGCGGAGGGAUAAGAUGGGUCGAGCAAAGUGAAGCUACAAGUGGACUAGGUGCUUGAGGAGGAGAAUUCAACUAAAGGCGACAUGAAACUUACCGGUUUUGUUCUAGGGGGUUUUCUCAAGAUGCUUGGGGAUCAGCACUCAAGUGUUGUUGCCAGCUCAUAUGGUCCUAAAUAUUGUCUAGGUUACCAAAAUACCCUCAUGGUCGCUUUGUAUGUCAAGCACAUUCAUGUAACAUCCCCAAAAGAGUCCUAAGGCUAUAAAAGUCAGUCCUCCUCAAUGUAAAAACACAGAUUAUUUGAGAAAUAUAUUGAACAUUUCUAUACUUGA